CGGUGGAGCAUGUGGUUAAUUCGAAGCAACGCGAAGAACCUUACCAGGUCUUGACAUCCCGAUGCUAUUUCUAGAGAUAGAAAGUUACUUCGGUACAUCGGUGACAGGUGGUGCAUGGUUGUCGUCAGCUCGUGUCGUGAGAUGUUGGGUUAAGUCCCGCAACGAGCGCAACCCCUAUUGUUAGUUGCCAUCAUUCAGUUGGGCACUCUAGCGAGACUGCCGGUAAUAAACCGGAGGAAGGUGGGGAUGACGUCAAAUCAUCAUGCCCCUUAUGUUCUGGGCUACAUACGUGCUACAAUGGCCGGUACAGACGGACGCAAAGCCGCGAGGUGGAGCAAAUCCUAAAAAGCCGGUCUCAGUUCGGAUUGCAGGCUGCAAUUCGCCUGCAUGAAGUCGGAAUCGCUAGUAAUCGCAGGUCAGCAUACUGCGGUGAAUACGUUCCCGGGCCUU
This 450-nucleotide ribosomal RNA is filed under the name uncultured Streptococcus sp. Its description in RNAcentral is "bacterial SSU rRNA". It matches the Rfam family "Bacterial small subunit ribosomal RNA", at positions 930 to 1382 of the family's 1533-position model. Lineage: Bacteria; Bacillati; Bacillota; Bacilli; Lactobacillales; Streptococcaceae. The record is from RNAcentral.